RNAcentral lists this ribosomal RNA (499 nucleotides) under uncultured bacterium. Its description in RNAcentral is "partial 16S ribosomal RNA". It matches the Rfam family "Bacterial small subunit ribosomal RNA", at positions 28 to 507 of the family's 1533-position model. The record is from RNAcentral.
GACGAACGCUGGCGGCGUGCUUAACACAUGCAAGUCGAACGGGCCUGUCUUCUUUUUUGGGGGUGGGUUGAGUGGCGAACGGGUGAGUAUCACGUGAGUAACCUGCCCUUCGGUCCUGGAUAACCGCUUGAAAGGGCGGCUAAUACGGGGUGGUCCGGUUGGUCCGCAUGGGCUGGUCGGGAUAGAUUCACUGUUUUUGGUGUUUCGGCGGGGGAUAGGCUCGCGGCCUAUCAGCUUGUUGGUGGGGUGAUGGCCUACCAAGGCGGUGACGGGUAGCCGGGCUGAGAGGGGGGGCGGCCACACUGGGACUGAGAUACGGCCCAGACUCCUGCGGGAGGCAGCAGUGGGGGGUAUUGCACAAUGGGCGGAAGCCUGAUGCAGCGACGUCGCGUGAGGGAUGGAGGCCUUCGGGUUGUGAACCUCUGUUUCCGGUGGUGAAGGCCCUGUCCGUGUGGUGGGGUUGACGGUAGCCGGGGAUGAAGCGCCGGCUAACUACGUG